UACGAAGGGGGCUAGCGUUGCUCGGAAUCACUGGGCGUAAAGCGCAUGUAGGCGGAUUUCUAAGUCAGGGGUGAAAUCCUGGAGCUCAACUCCAGAACUGCCUUUGAUACUGGGAAUCUCGAGUCCGGGAGAGGUGAGUGGAACUGCGAGUGUAGAGGUGAAAUUCGUAGAUAUUCGCAAGAACACCAGUGGCGAAGGCGGCUCACUGGCCCGGUACUGACGCUGAGGUGCGAAAGCGUGGGGAGCAAACAGG
RNAcentral lists this ribosomal RNA (253 nucleotides) under uncultured bacterium. RNAcentral's name for it is "partial 16S ribosomal RNA". It matches the Rfam family "Bacterial small subunit ribosomal RNA", at positions 524 to 776 of the family's 1533-position model. The record is from RNAcentral.